GGGAUAACACUUGGAAACAGGUGCUAAUACCGCAUAACCAUAGUUACCGCAUGGUAACUAUGUAAAAGGUGGCUAUGCUACCGCUUUUGGAUGGGCCCGCGGCGCAUUAGCUAGUUGGUGGGGUAAAGGCUUACCAAGGCAAUGAUGCGUAGCCGAACUGAGAGGUUGAUCGGCCACAUUGGGACUGAGACACGGCCCAAACUCCUACGGGAGGCAGCAGUAGGGAAUCUUCCACAAUGGGCGAAAGCCUGAUGGAGCAACGCCGCGUGGGUGAAGAAGGUCUUCGGAUCGUAAAACCCUGUUGUUAGAGAAGAAAGUGCGUGAGAGUAACUGUUCACGUUUCGACGGUAUCUAACCAGAAAGCCACGGCUAACUACGUGCCAGCAGCCGCGGUAAUACGUAGGUGGCAAGCGUUAUCCGGAUUUAUUGGGCGUAAAGGGAACGCAGGCGGUCUUUUAAGUCUGAUGUGAAAGCCUUCGGCUUAACCGGAGUAGUGCAUUGAAAACUGGGAGACUUGAGUGCAGAAGAGGAGAGUGGAACUCCAUGUGUAGCGGUGAAAUGCGUAGAUAUAUGGAAGAACACCAGUGGCGAAAGCGGCUCUCUGGUCUGUAACUGACGCUGAGGUUCGAAAGCGUGGGUAGCAAACAGGAUUAGAUACCCUGGUAGUCCACGCCGUAAAC
This 680-nucleotide ribosomal RNA is filed under the name uncultured bacterium. RNAcentral's name for it is "bacterial SSU rRNA". It matches the Rfam family "Bacterial small subunit ribosomal RNA", at positions 140 to 807 of the family's 1533-position model. The record is from RNAcentral.